GUCCCGCAACGAGCGCAACCCUUGCUCUUAGUUGCCAUCAUUCAGUUGGGCACUCUAAGGGGACCGCCGGUGACAAACCGGAGGAAGGUGGGGAUGACGUCAAGUCAUCAUGGCCCUUACGACCUGGGCUACACACGUGCUACAAUGGGCGGUACAGAGGGCUGCAAACUCGCGAGAGCAAGCCAAUCCCUUAAAACCGUUCGUAGUCCGGAUUGGAGUCUGCAACUCGACUCCAUGAAGUCGGAAUCGCUAGUAAUCGUGGAUCAGCAUGCCACGGUGAAUACGUUCCCGGGCCUUGUACACACCGCCCGUC
RNAcentral lists this ribosomal RNA (313 nucleotides) under Chaetoceros affinis. RNAcentral describes it as "partial Bacterial small subunit ribosomal RNA". It matches the Rfam family "Bacterial small subunit ribosomal RNA", at positions 1084 to 1398 of the family's 1533-position model. Lineage: Eukaryota; Bacillariophyta; Thalassiosirophyceae; Chaetocerotales; Chaetocerotaceae. The record is from RNAcentral.